GGCAUUACUGGUGGUGAGUCGU
This 22-nucleotide non-coding RNA is filed under the name Arabidopsis thaliana (thale cress). The record is from RNAcentral. Lineage: Eukaryota; Viridiplantae; Streptophyta; Magnoliopsida; Brassicales; Brassicaceae.